CGUCAGGCUCGGCGAGAGGAACGACGCGGCCAUCAAGACGUACCUGACCAGAUUGCGGGACAGGUACUCGAGCGUCCUGGACAGGCCCUGGGACAACAAGUACGCCAAUCACAGGAACGUCAAACAGUGGUCGCGAUAAUAAUAUGUACCACCCAGGUCAGAUGUCCCCUAACUGCGACCACGUAUAUAAUUUUCCUGUGCUGCUGAAUACAUCGUCCACAGAUCUCGAAAUAAGAAACCGACCAAGAAACGUUCUCACUAAAAAUAAUCAUAACUUUUUAUUAUUAUAUAAUAAUAUGUUAUAAAAGAAUAUAUAUUUUUUGUAUAAUUACAUUAUGCUGUCGGCCGUUGAAAAAAACACUUCAAAUAUAAUAGUUUGUGAACAUUGAAUUAUCCCCCCCCCCUGUAAAUUUGUAAUUUUUUUAUAUAUACGAUGAAUAUUUUUAGGAAACUUGUAAUUAUUAUAGAUAAAUAAAAUGUAAUGUAAAAUAUAUAAUGUGCUAUUACUGUUUGCUUGCUAAUUUUUUUAUUUCAUCUAAAACAUACAUUAUUAUAUAAUUGUCCAUAUAAUAACACUAAAAUAAACGUUUUUUGCUUGUUUUAUAAAAAA
Rhopalosiphum padi (bird cherry-oat aphid) is the source of this 610-nucleotide long non-coding RNA. RefSeq lists it as uncharacterized. The transcript has 2 exons. The record is from RefSeq and is a predicted model, not a curated record. Lineage: Eukaryota; Metazoa; Arthropoda; Insecta; Hemiptera; Aphididae.